Molecule: transfer RNA, 65 nt
Filed under: Goggia essexi
Lineage: Eukaryota; Metazoa; Chordata; Lepidosauria; Squamata; Gekkonidae
Description: tRNA-Cys
Source: RNAcentral
GAAGCCCCGGCACCUUUUUGGGUGCUUCUCCAGACUUGCAAUCUGACGUACGUCGUACUACGGGA